GGUUUGGAAAUUGGAAUGAGUACAAUUUAAAUCCCUUAACGAUGAUCCACUGGAGGGCAAGCCUGGUGCCAGCAGCCGCGGUAAUUCCAGCUCCAGUAGCGUAUAUUAAAGUUGUUGCGGUUAAAAAGCUCGUAGUUGGAUUUCUGACGUGACUUGCCUGGCCCGCUCGGGUUUCCGUUGUGAGUGCCGGCGCGAGGUCCGUCUUCCCUUCUAGGGAGGCACGACUCCCGUUCUGCGGUGUGGUUGUGUCGCUCUAGAUCAAUUACUUUGAAAAAAUUAGAGUGUUUAAAGCAGGCUUUCGCUUUUGAAUACAUUAGCAUGGAAUAAUAACAUAGGACUUCGGCCUAUUUUGUUGGUUUCGAGGACGAAGUAAUGAUUGACAGGGAUAGUUGGGGGUGCUUGUAUUCAGCGUUCAGAGGUGAAAUUCUUGGAUCCGCUGAAGACAAACUUAUGCGAAAGCAUUCACCAAGGAUGUCUUCUUUAAUCAAGAACGAAAGUUGGGGGAUCGAAGACGAUCAGAUACCGUCGUAGUCUCAACCAUAAACUAUACCGACUAAGGAUGAGUAAACGUUGCAUUUUCGACUUCAUUUGCACUUUGUGAGAAAUCAAAGUCUUUGGGUUCCGGGGGGAGUAUGGUCGCAAGGCUGAAACUUAAAGGAAUUGACGGAAGGGCACCACCAGGAGUGGAGCCUGCGGCUUAAUUUGACUCAACACGGGAAAACUUACCAGGUCCAGACUCAGUAAGGAUUGACAGAUUGAAGAUCUUUCUUGAUUUUGAGGGUGGUGGUGCAUGGCCGUUCUUAGUUGGUGGAGUGAUCUGUCUGGUUAAUUCCGUUAACGAACGAGACCUCGACCUACUAAAUAGUGCCAAGAACCCUCGGGUUCUUCGGUCACUUCUUAGAGGGACUAUUGGUGUGUAGCCAAUGGAGGUUCGAGGCAAUAACAGGUCUGUGAUGCCCUUAGAUGUUCUGGACUGCACGUGCGCUACAAUGCGGGGUUCAACGAGCAUACAACCUUGACUGACAAGUCUGGGUAAUCUUCUGAAAGCCCUGCGUGCUGGGGAUAGAUUAUUGUAAUUAUUAAUCUUCAACGAGGAAUUCCUAGUAAACGCGAGUCAUCAACUCGCAUUGAUUACGUCCCUGCCCUUUGUACACACCGCCCGUCGCUACUACCGAUUGAAUGACUUAGUGAGUUUCAGGGAUCGCGCUCCAGUGUU
RNAcentral lists this ribosomal RNA (1216 nucleotides) under metagenome. RNAcentral's name for it is "SSU rRNA". It matches the Rfam family "Eukaryotic small subunit ribosomal RNA", at positions 499 to 1729 of the family's 1831-position model. The record is from RNAcentral.